CAAAUCAUUUUGACUGACUGUUUCACAGCACAUUCGUAUACUUUUACAGCAAAUCAUUUUGACUGACUGUUUCACAGCACAUUCGUAUACUUUUACAGCAAAUCAUUUUGACUGACUGUUUCACAGCACAUUCGUAUACUUUUACAGCAAAUCAUUUUGACUGACUGUUUCACAGCACAUUCGUAUACUUUUACAGCAAAUCAUUUUGGAUGGAACAUGUGAGAAAUCCUUUUGACCUUUGUUACAUUGACCCAUUUAAAAGAUCACUAUUAAGCAAACUUUGACUGAGAGUUUUUUAAUGAUGCAUGUGUUACGAAUCAGUGCAGCGAACGAGUGUACUUAGCGAUCCUUCACAGAGAGGAAAUGAUUAACCGUACAAUAAGGGUGUAAUUGGUGCCUUCACAAGUAUUUCCGGCGUACAAAGACUUUCCGUAUAAAUGCUUCGCAGCCCUCACAGGUACCAGUUGUCAAGUCCAGUUAUAAGGGCAUCAUUGAUGGAAUCUGAUUGGUGAUACAAGUUACAACCGAAGCAAAAUUGAGUCUAACAUAUCCUCAUGUCCCUGCAUUUUGAUCAAAGGACUGAUUAAAACCCAUCAGCCAAAUAGACUAUAGACCAGGAAUUGUCUAGCAUUUAGAAACAAUGACUGUGAGUAUGUGGAACUUAUAAGACCUGAAAUGCAUUCCACCUAAAAGAAAACGUAUGUCUUACAAUAGUAAACCGCACAUACUAGUAUCCAUAUAAGUAGAUCACUGCUGCUUCAGUGUUUUAACACUGGUGAGUUCUAAUUAUUAUGGCUAUCAGGAAUAAACAAGUAAUUUAAGUCAACGAAAAAACAAUGUAUUAACUGCUGUGUUGGUAUAUUUUAAUAUUUGAUGGAUUUUCUUACUGAAAUAAGAUACUACCAUACAAUUUAAGCCUGUAUUAAUUAAUAAUAUGCUGAGGAGUUUCAUUAAAAUUUGUAGUUUGUAGCAAGGAAUGGAUUGUGUGAAAUAUGUUUUAAGCAUUGUGCAUUGC
Molecule: long non-coding RNA, 1015 nt
Organism: Dendronephthya gigantea
Lineage: Eukaryota; Metazoa; Cnidaria; Anthozoa; Malacalcyonacea; Nephtheidae
Exons: 9
Source: RefSeq, a predicted model, not a curated record